RNAcentral lists this unclassified non-coding RNA (403 nucleotides) under soil metagenome. Its description in RNAcentral is "partial contains 5.8S ribosomal RNA, internal transcribed spacer 2, and large subunit ribosomal RNA". The stretch from base 1 to 121 matches the Rfam family "5.8S ribosomal RNA", at positions 35 to 154 of the family's 154-position model. The record is from RNAcentral.
GAUGAAGAACGUAGCGAAAUGCGAUACGUAAUGUGAAUUGCAGAAUUCAGUGAAUCAUCGAAUCUUUGAACGCACCUUGCGCCCUUUGGCUAUUCCGAAGGGCAUGCCUGUUUGAGUAUCAUGAACACCUCAACUCUUCACGGCUUGCCGUGAUGAGUUUGGACUUUGGGGGUCUUGCUGGCCUACGAGCCAGCUCCUCUCAAAUGUAUUAGCUUGCCGGUGUUUGGUGGCAUCACAGGUGUGAUAACUAUCUACGCUUGUGGUUUUCCACUAGGUAACCUUCAGCAAUGGAGGUUCACCGGAGCUCACAAAUGUCUCUCCUUGCCAAGGACAGAUUUUGACCAUUUGAUCUCAAAUCAGGUAGGACUACCCGCUGAACUUAAGCAUAUCAAUAAGCGGAGGA